Molecule: unclassified non-coding RNA, 250 nt
Filed under: plant metagenome
Description: partial contains small subunit ribosomal RNA, internal transcribed spacer 1, and 5.8S ribosomal RNA
Source: RNAcentral
GUAGGUGAACCUGCGGAAGGAUCAUUAUUGAAGCAAAAAUAUAUAGUCUUGGAUUUGUAAAAGAAUCCAAGCUAUUUAUAUUCUUCUAUAAACCCACUGUGAACCAAUUAAGAGACUAAAGUAUAUCCCUCACGGGACUACUUCUGUUUCGCCUUAAUCGGACAGAAUACAUGUAAUGUGUAUACUGGUCGAGGACGAACCAAUUUGUUUUGGUCGGCCGAAUUACCUUUUUAAAUUCAAAAAGAUGAAG